GGACUAAUAUGUCGGUCGUGCCUCGGUACGUACUGGUUUAUUGGUUUCUCCUUUCUGAAGAACCAUGAUGUCAUUUAUUUGGUGUCGUGGGGAAUCAGGACUGUUACUUUGAAAAAUUAGAGUGUUUAAAGCAGGCUCACGCUUGAAUACAUUAGCAUGGAAUAAUGAAAUAGGACGUUUGAUUCUAUUUUGUUGGUUUCUAGGAUCGACGUAAUGAUUAAUAGG
RNAcentral lists this ribosomal RNA (225 nucleotides) under uncultured Glomeromycotina. Its description in RNAcentral is "partial small subunit ribosomal RNA". The stretch from base 45 to 225 matches the Rfam family "Eukaryotic small subunit ribosomal RNA", at positions 693 to 876 of the family's 1831-position model. The record is from RNAcentral. Lineage: Eukaryota; Fungi; Glomeromycota.